CACGCCGUAAACGAUGACUACUAGGUGUCGGGGAGCAAAGCUCUUCGGUGCCGCAGCAAACGCAAUAAGUAGUCCACCUGGGGAGUACGUUCGCAAGAAUGAAACUCAAAGGAAUUGACG
This 120-nucleotide ribosomal RNA is filed under the name uncultured bacterium. Its description in RNAcentral is "partial 16S ribosomal RNA". It matches the Rfam family "Bacterial small subunit ribosomal RNA", at positions 796 to 915 of the family's 1533-position model. The record is from RNAcentral.